UGAGUGUGAUGCCACACAUGAACAAUACGCCCUCCAAUGUUGGGUGGAACUCGGCGCCUCUGCUCUCUCCCAAGUACUUUAUGAAGGCACUUCAUUAUCUAUCAUAAAGUUUCUUAAGUAUGUUGUGCCUUGCUCCUGUGCUCCUGACAGGAAGAAUAGAGUCAGGGCCAUAGAAGGGGGAACUCCCUCCAAGAGCUCAGUUUAAAUUUUUCUCAGUCUUUUGAACUUAAGCAUUUGUGUUCCCGGGACAUAGAAGAGUAGAUUUUGAGGCUAGAAAAGAGACAUGUGGCCCAAGCAAGUGUGGUAGAGCAAUGGGCUCGCUGUGAAAUAAAUUUGGGUGUGUUCCUCACAGAUUUAUGCCCCCUAUACAAAGGGAGGCAGUGCUAUCCAGAGAUGUUUUGCUUCCUGAAAUGGAGGCCAAUUUCAUGCUACCACUACUGCUCCCCUUCCUUACUAGGGCCAAACUUGCAAAAGUCUUCCAGCAUCCUUAGAACACCACCGAUUUCUAACUUCAUCAAUCCAUCAUCAUGGAUGAGGAAAACAAUAUACAUCAAUCACACACUGGGGAGCAGACAGUCCUGUUUGAUAGGCUUGCCUACUUAUUUCUUUACCUAAGAUAAUAUCUACAGCAUCCAUGUGUCUGACAGAAAUGGCUUGAAGCUAUGAUGCAGUUGAUCAAAAAGAAAAUAAAAGUGAAAUGCAUGUCUCUACUUCCCCACAACCCAAACUUUUGCUGAGGUUAAGUGGAAACAGUGAGACGGGGUCAUUCAAUCAAUCCACCAGUCAAUCACACUGUGGGAUAUACUGCAGAGAGCAGCUUCCUCGAGACGUGAUGGAUGCAAUAUAUACCUGACUCAGCAGCUACCAAGAUUGCAGCAGAUCACUGUAAUUUGAAACUAUGCGCACACAAUUCAUGCUUCGGUUUAAAGGAAAAGAACAACACAUCUGCUGCUGAACCAGAUCUUGGGAUGGAAAUGAACACAAUCAAAGUCAGAACCUCUAACAGCAGUCAGCCAUCUUGACACAAACAACAACCAGCGGUUCUUCUGUCCCAUGCAGCCUCAGGAAGGAGACCAUGAUGUGCAUAAUAAUUCUGCCUUAUGUUUGGACAAAGGGUAAUAAAUUUUGAUGUAGCUCAGCUUACAGGAAGUCUAUCGUCAGAGUCAGGAAGACACAACAAAGAUUUAACAGAGCACUAACCUUUAUGCCAGUUAUGAAGCAGCCUAGCUGUGUUGACUAAGAGAAUGAACCUGGCACACCCAGAGAGUCAGAGACAUGCAUCUUGGAUGCGAGUUCUGGAAGACCUAAUUCCUGUUUUGCAAGCCUUUUUUCACCUGGCCUGGAAGAGCAGGGGCCCCGAUUGCAGCUACAAAGCUGAGGCUAUUGGGUUGGGGGAUUGUUUAAGAGGG
Podarcis muralis (Common wall lizard) is the source of this 1409-nucleotide long non-coding RNA. RefSeq lists it as uncharacterized. Lineage: Eukaryota; Metazoa; Chordata; Lepidosauria; Squamata; Lacertidae. The record is from RefSeq and is a predicted model, not a curated record.